GACGUAGGUGGCGAACGUUAUCCGGAAUUAUUGGGCGUAAAGGGUGCGUAGAUGGCCUGAUAAGUUAGCAGUGGGAAAUCGAGGCUCAACCUCGUGGAAGCUGGUAAUACUGUCAGGCUCGAGUGCAGGAGAGGUUAACGGAACUCCAUGUGGAGCGGUAAAAUGUGUAGAUAUAUGGAAGAACACCAAUAACGGCGAAGGCAGUUAACUAUUCUGUUACUGACAUUGAGGCACGAAAGCGUGGGGAGCAAAACGU
This 256-nucleotide ribosomal RNA is filed under the name uncultured bacterium. RNAcentral describes it as "partial 16S ribosomal RNA". It matches the Rfam family "Bacterial small subunit ribosomal RNA", at positions 524 to 776 of the family's 1533-position model. The record is from RNAcentral.